RNAcentral lists this ribosomal RNA (386 nucleotides) under uncultured eukaryote. Its description in RNAcentral is "SSU rRNA". It matches the Rfam family "Eukaryotic small subunit ribosomal RNA", at positions 587 to 972 of the family's 1831-position model. The record is from RNAcentral.
AGCUCCAAUAGCGUAUACUAAAAUUGCUGCAGUUAAAAAGCUCGUAGUUGGAAUCCUGGGUGCGGUGUGGCCCGGUCUGCCGUGAAGGUGUGCACUGGCUACGCCCCCCGCAAUCGCUCAGUAGCGCCCAUCUGAUCUUAACUGGUUGGGUGGGACCGCUCUGGGCCGUUUACUGUGAGUAAAUAAGGGUGUUUAAAGCAAGCAAUCGCUCUGAAUUCAAUAGCAUGGGAUAAUAGAACACGAGGCGCUGUGGUUUCGGUUGGUUGCCACAGCGCCUAAUGAUCAAUAGGAACGGUCGGGGGUAUUCGUAUUGAAUUGUCAGAGGUGAAAUUCUUAGAUUUAUGCAAGACGAACUACUGCGAAAGCAUCUGCCAAGGACGCUUUCA